RNAcentral lists this ribosomal RNA (372 nucleotides) under Tentyria mucronata. RNAcentral describes it as "partial 12S ribosomal RNA". Lineage: Eukaryota; Metazoa; Arthropoda; Insecta; Coleoptera; Tenebrionidae. The record is from RNAcentral.
GAUACCCUAUUAUUUUAAAUGUGAAUUUUAAAACUGAAAUUAUUAUUAGUUAAGAUCUUUAAAGUUAAAGAUUUUGGCGGUAUUUUAGUCUUUUCAGAGGAACCUGUCUUUUAAUCGAUAAUCCACGAUUAUUAAUACUUUGUUUAAUUAAUUUGCAUAUCGUCGUUAAAUAAAUAUUUUAUUAGGAUUUUAAUUUUUAGGAUUUUUUAUUAUAAAGUAAUUCAGAUCAAGGUGUAGUUUAUAGCAAAGAUAAGAUGGGUUACAUUAUAUUUAUAUGUGGAUUUUCUUUUUUGAAUGGAAAUUAAAUUGGAUUUGAAAGUAAUAUUUAUAUUUAUAUAAUAUGAUUUAGCUCUAAAAUAUGCACACAUCGCC